RNAcentral lists this transfer RNA (72 nucleotides) under Ictidomys tridecemlineatus (thirteen-lined ground squirrel). Its description in RNAcentral is "Spermophilus tridecemlineatus (thirteen-lined ground squirrel) tRNA". It matches the Rfam family "tRNA". From Rfam's summary of the family: Transfer RNA (tRNA) molecules are approximately 80 nucleotides in length. Their secondary structure includes four short double-helical elements and three loops (D, anti-codon, and T loops). The record is from Rfam by way of RNAcentral. Lineage: Eukaryota; Metazoa; Chordata; Mammalia; Rodentia; Sciuridae.
GGGGUUGUGGCUCAGUGGUAGAGCGCUUGCCUAGCAUGUAUGAGGCACUGGGUUCAAUUCUCAGCUACACAU